GAUGAACGCUGGCGGCGUGCCUAAUACAUGCAAGUCGAGCGAACAGACGAGGAGCUUGCUCCUCUGACGUUAGCGGCGGACGGGUGAGUAACACGUGGAUAACCUACCUAUAAGACUGGGAUAACUUCGGGAAACCGGAGCUAAUACCGGAUAAUAUAUUGAACCGCAUGGUUCAAUAGUGAAAGACGGUUUUGCUGUCACUUAUCGAUGGAUCCGCGCCGCAUUAGCUAGUUGGUAAGGUAACGGCUUACCAAGGCGACGAUGCGUAGCCGACCUGAGAGGGUGAUCGGCCACACUGGAACUGAGACGCGGUCCAGACUCCUACGGGAGGCAGCAGUAGGGAAUCUUCCGCAAUGGGCGAAAGCCUGACGGAGCAACGCCGCGUGAGUGAUGAAGGUCUUCGGAUCGUAAAACUCUGUUAUUAGGGAAGAACAAAUGUGUAAGUAACUAUGCACGUCUUGACGGUACCUAAUCAGAAAGCCACGGCUAACUACGUG
RNAcentral lists this ribosomal RNA (497 nucleotides) under uncultured bacterium. RNAcentral's name for it is "partial 16S ribosomal RNA". It matches the Rfam family "Bacterial small subunit ribosomal RNA", at positions 28 to 507 of the family's 1533-position model. The record is from RNAcentral.